Molecule: ribosomal RNA, 253 nt
Filed under: uncultured bacterium
Lineage: Bacteria
Description: partial 16S ribosomal RNA
Rfam family: Bacterial small subunit ribosomal RNA
Source: RNAcentral
UACGUAGGAGGCAAGCGUUGUCCGGAAUUACUGGGUGUAAAGCGCGUGUAGGCGGCAGGCCAAGUCUGUGGUGAAAUCGCACGGCUCAACUGGGCGGGGUCCAUGGAAACUGGUCAGCUGGAGGACGGUAGAGGUGAGUGGAAUUCCCGGUGUAGUGGUGAAAUGCGUAGAGAUGUGGAGGAACACCAGUGGCGAAGGCGACUCUCUGGUCUGUAACUGACGCUGAGGCGCGAAAGCGUGGGGAGCAAACAGG